RNAcentral lists this ribosomal RNA (1342 nucleotides) under uncultured bacterium. RNAcentral describes it as "16S ribosomal RNA". It matches the Rfam family "Bacterial small subunit ribosomal RNA", at positions 28 to 1378 of the family's 1533-position model. The record is from RNAcentral.
GACGAACGCUGGCGGCGUGCUUAACACAUGCAAGUCGAACGGAAAGGCCCUGCUUUUGUGGGGUGCUCGAGUGGCGAACGGGUGAGCAACACGUGAGUAACCUGCCCUUGACUUUGGGAUAACUUCAGGAAACUGGGGCUAAUACCGGAUAGGAGCUCCUGCUGCAUGGUGGGGGUUGGAAAGUUUCGGCGGUUGGGGAUGGACUCGCGGCUUAUCAGCUUGUUGGUGGGGUAGUGGCUUACCAAGGCUUUGACGGGUAGCCGGCCUGAGAGGGUGACCGGCCACAUUGGGACUGAGAUACGGCCCAGACUCCUACGGGAGGCAGCAGUGGGGAAUAUUGCACAACGGGCGGAAGCCUGAUGCAGCAACGCCGCGUGCGGGAUGACGGCCUUCGGGUUGUAAACCGCUUUCGCCUGUGACGAAGCGUGAGUGACGGUAAUGGGUAAAGAAGCACCGGCUAACUACGUGCCAGCAGCCGCGGUGAUACGUAGGGUGCGAGCGUUGUCCGGAUUUAUUGGGCGUAAAGGGCUCGUAGGUGGUUGAUCGCGUCGGAAGUGUAAUCUUGGGGCUUAACCCUGAGCGUGCUUUCGAUACGGGUUGACUUGAGGAAGGUAGGGGAGAAUGGAAUUCCUGGUGGAGCGGUGGAAUGCGCAGAUAUCAGGAGGAACACCAGUGGCGAAGGCGGUUCUCUGGGCCUUUCCUGACGCUGAGGAGCGAAAGCGUGGGGAGCGAACAGGCUUAGAUACCCUGGUAGUCCACGCUGUAAACGGUGGGUACUAGGCGUGGGGUCCAUUCCACGGGUUCCGUGCCGUAGCUAACGCUUUAAGUACCCCGCCUGGGGAGUACGGCCGCAAGGCUAAAACUCAAAGGAAUUGACGGGGCCCCGCACAAGCGGCGGAGCAUGCGGAUUAAUUCGAUGCAACGCGUAGAACCUUACCUGGGUUUGACAUGGAUCGGGAGCGCUCAGAGAUGGUGUGCCUCUUUUGGGGUCGGUUCACAGGUGGUGCAUGGCUGUCGUCAGCUCGUGUCGUGAGAUGUUGGGUUAAGUCCCGCAACGAGCGCAACCCUUGUUCACUGUUGCCAGCACGUUAUGGUGGGGACUCAGUGGAGACCGCCGGGGUCAACUCGGAGGAAGGUGGGGAUGACGUCAAGUCAUCAUGCCCCUUAUGUCCAGGGCUUCACGCAUGCUACAAUGGCUGGUACAGAGAGUGGCGAGCCUGUGAGGGUGAGCGAAUCUCGGAAAGCCGGUCUCAGUUCGGAUUGGGGUCUGCAACUCGACCUCAUGAAGUCGGAGUCGCUAGUAAUCGCAGAUCAGCAACGCUGCGGUGAAUACGUUCCCGGG